UAUACAGGGAGCACGUGCAUACACAUUAAACCACGGAAUAUAUAUAAAGCGAUAGAAGGCGAACGUCGGUAUGACAAGCAAGAUACAUACGGAUAUAAAGAGUCCGGUCGGUAAAACAGAGAGGAAGGUGCGAGCUGCGCGCGCAACUCGAGCAAGACCCGCAGUAGUCCAGGUAUGAUCCCGGCUGUGUCUAUUUAUACGGACUGGGUGGGAACGCGGCUACCUGUUGGGUCUGCCGCUCUAGGUAUAACCCGGCUCAAAGCAGCCUCCAGCAGUUAUCGCUUGACAUAAAAGUAGGUCACCCGUCGAAACUAGGUCAACACGGCGCAACCCUCACAGCACUAUAUACCUUGGUAAGCGUCCACGUACGAGUUAUCGUACAAUACACACACUCCGUCAGGAGUAGAUCAGAAUCCUCUGGCACUGUCAAACCCCCCCCCCGCCCCCCUAUAAGCAUCCACCCCCUUUACUUUAAUCCUGACUUUGCUCACUUGCCGUCAACCCAGCUCUCGCAGCCCAGGUCCGUCGAGGUUUCCACGCUUUGGCCAACCCUGCGGCGCAAUCAACCCUCUUUGGAAUUAUCCCGAAAAUAUGUAACUCCGACGAAAAGCUAAGUGAGAGACCAGGGUACCUUGGCUCGGUAAAUAUUUACUAUGGGGUUUAUUGUGGAAUUAAGAUCGGCCGACAUCGGUUACGGAGAGUGAACGGUUUUCUGAGUGCUGGUGUUGCUCGUUGUGGGUCUAUGGUUAUCCUGUCAUAGAGUGUACAUAUAUAUCUACAAGGGGUGCGGCGUUCGUAGUAUGAAUGUCAGCGGUACAGUACGGUACAUAAAUUUUGCAUAUAGGGGAUGAAAACGUGAAAUGGGGCUUAUGUAUAAUGUAAGCAAAGCUUGUCGAUUCUCUAAGAUAGCUUGACGUGAGAGACAUACCGGUUAGGAAGUUGCCGUACGAUACGAAGUUGGCUUCUAAGUAAAGUGACAGCGCGGUGAGGUUGAGGACGCCAUAGAAAUAGAACUGAUAUUGUCUAUUUGUCCUUGAAGCGAGGCCACCGAGAGACUUCCUGCCGCGUGGCUGCCAGCCGGGCGUCAGCGGAGUCAGUAUGAAAGGAGAUGAAAAUGGAUGAGGGACGCCGGGAGAAACAUUGGUCUUUGGACUGGGAAAACCGGAAGAACUUUUCCUAGUUCGGAUACGACAGCCACCAUUUUAUCGUGCCUCCAUUACAGUAAGCGAUUCUUGUACACCCUGCGACGAAGCAUCAUGCUGAGGAAACUCAGCCAGCAUCCACCCCCGGAGUUUAACAGGCAACCCAGAAAUCGGUGCUGAUAGGAUAUAUGUGUGUGUGUGUGUAUAUAUAUAUAUAUAGCGAGAGGAAGGAGGUGUGAUUAAGCUCCGUAGAAAUGGGGGGAGGUUGGGAGAAAGGUCAAUAAAUAAAGGAUCGACUUGAUUUUAAGGGAUGAAAAGAUCCAAGGAUGUUAUUGCAGCCUAAAAUAUUUUCUAUUAUCCCAUCAUCCGCCCACCCACCACCCUGCUGGAAUAUUAAAAAUUUUUUUCAUCUUUGAUAAAGAUUUUAAGACACACCCUUCGGAUGGCUUAUUAGGGAUCCUUUUUUAAUCCUGGUUCCGCCACGGGAGGCUCAGGUGAUCCAUAAGGAUGUCAUUUUAUUCGGAGAGCUCACGGAUUGGUUUUACAUAAGAGACAUCUGGAUAUAUCGGAAAAUCAACGCAGGAUCUUUAGUCACGUAUAGGUGCCAGGUAUGGUAUAUCUAUGUCCUCCAUUUAUGACUGAUAAGAGAGUUACAAAAUCCAAUAGAAAUAAUGAUCCACGCUUUAACGAUAAUCUUAUUGUGUAUUGAAUUUCAGGUCUCUUUAAUGGCCGACCUGGUCCUGGCUGAAUCCUAUUCCGAUCUAACCUAACCCAAUUACCUAAACAAGAACUACGUAAUUGUUAAGAAGCAAAGAGGAUUCGAUGGGAUCACCAGAGUCUUCGAACUUCCUCGUUCAGGGGCAUGAGGGGGUAGAACAGGGUGACUAAUCACGUCAUGAGCGUUCAAUAAUUCCAUUAUUAAAUUUUGCUUCUCUACGUCCCACUUCCUCGACCCGCGAAGGUCUCCUUUCAUCCCCUUUGACAAUCAAUUCUUUUCUCCUGGUCUUUGGCACGAAAGGAAAAAACAUAACCUCUAAAAGUUAUCGUAACAUUUUCACUCCAACUGCCAUUUAAAACUCCGCAUGACAAGUGCACGGCGUACCAAGGACGUCGCGACGCUUUUUCGCAAUUGAAAGACUUAACGGCUCUAUACUUGUCAUUUGAGUUUUAAGUUAUGCAAUUAAAGAGUUAUAGAUUUGAGACACGUUCUGCACUUAUUAAAUAUAACGGUCAUCGUGCGCUCCUUUUUUUUUCAUAGGUCAUUAACUUGUAAGAUGUCUUUGGAUAAUUAUCUUUCGUCUCUUUGGUAUGCGUCUACUCAUCUUCCUUUUUAUUCAUCUUCUGCAGUCAAACUUUCGUGAUUUCUUCGUUUUUCA
This is an RNA transcript of Cephus cinctus (wheat stem sawfly), 2518 nucleotides long. RefSeq lists it as uncharacterized. The record is from RefSeq and is a predicted model, not a curated record. The transcript has 2 exons. NCBI's taxonomy places the organism in Eukaryota, Metazoa, Arthropoda, Insecta, Hymenoptera, Cephidae.